Streptomyces cellostaticus is the source of this 132-nucleotide small RNA. It matches the Rfam family "Streptomyces RNA 5676". From Rfam's summary of the family: Identified by deep sequencing of transcriptome at the end of exponential growth phase. Appears longer on northern blot than sequencing transcript. NCBI's taxonomy places the organism in Bacteria, Bacillati, Actinomycetota, Actinomycetes, Kitasatosporales, Streptomycetaceae. The record is from Rfam.
AGAUGAGAGAUACACCCCGCCCACAGGGGACUGUGGGCGAUCUCAGGCCGGGGCCUCCCCAGCUUCGACCUGGUCGUGCCCUCGCGCACACAACCGGGGCCUGACGGCUCCGGGAUCUCCUCACCGAUCGGA